GCCUGACGGGACAGACGUAGGUGGCACGCGUGCGCAAGGCAGCCGCCGCCGCCAGAGGGCGGUGGCAGUGGGUCGACUCGUCUCUGUGACCCAGUGUGUGUAUGUGUGUGGUGGCCGCCCUCCCCCAGUUCGUACGCGGUUUGAUUCACUGCUCCUAAAUACUAGAUGCUGGUGCAGGGCUUGUUGUGACACUGUGGUAUAGUGUUCUCUCGUUGCUCAAGCAAAGGGUUUUCCGCCACGGGGACCUCUCUACAGCAUUGACUGCAGGAAUGGAUGAAGGAGCUGAAAGCAAGGUCAAAUCUUAUCCGCACCUUCUUCUCCACAUCAUAGUUAUGCCCAGUUGGCGCCAUGUUGUUUAAGUUAAAGUUUGCUUCCCAAGUUCAAUUGGCCGUUUCCCUUUGAUGGUUCCCUGAAAGUUACCCGGCUUCCCCUACUGUGGACAAUGAUGUUUACAGCCCCCCCACUACCAUGAGGACCUACUUGUGAUGUGGACAUUUCCACUGCGGUGUGACCAGGAGAACCCUUCAGGUUUCCCCUGGAUGUUCUUGAAGACCCUUAACCCCUCUACAGUGGAAAGUGGCACUGACACCCCCCUUCUACCAUGACGGCUUACUAGCAAUGUGGCCCCCCCUGUGUCGUGCUGUGUUGCCCAUUAUUGUGUCCUAACACUACUUGUAACACUGUCCACCCCAAAAUCAAUUUAGUUUUACAGUAAAGAACACAUCAUUUUUUUUAAAUAUUUCAAGUUUAUUGAUUAUAGAAAGUUUAACAAUCUAUUUUGAAUUUAAAAAUAAAACAUGAAAACUUAGGUGAAGUCCUACAAGAGCCUAGAGCAGGGAUGGGGAACCAUUAGGCCCUCUAACUGUUGUGGAACUACACAGUCCAGCAUGCCUUUGCAACAGUUUUGCUUCUUGGACAUGGUAAAACUGUUGCUGGGCAUGCUGGUAUGUGUAGUUCAACAACAGCUAGCCGAGGGUUCCCCUUCCCUAAACUAUGCCAUGGGACUGCUACCUGUGGCUUUCCUACUGCUGUGGAACUGCACAUCCCAGCAUGCCCUGAUAUUAAGACAUGCUAAAACUGAGGAAGGGUGUGCUGGGAUGUGUAGUUUCACAGCAGCAGGUGGCAGUCCAAUGGCCUAGUACAGUGGUUCCUCACCUCGGUCCACAAGUACCCCAGUUCAUGUUUUCCAGGUCUCCUCACAAGUUUGCAAGUAAUAUAAUUUGCUCCUCCCGUGGGUGUUUUACAAUGUAGCAGUGAUUAAAGGAUAGAUAGAUCGAUAGAUAGGAUAAUAAGGUACAGAUUCUUGUAAAAGUGAAAUAUGAAUAUGUGCAAAUAGACAUAUGAAAUACCAAAUGUGCGAUGCAGAUAGCGUGAUGUAUUGAUCUGAGGAUAUGAGCAUAUAGUAUAUAAUGUCUAUGUGAAUUAUAUGAGCAUAAGUGAAGGUCUCUCUGAUAGACAGCAAUGGUGGAAUUGGACACCAUUGUGUAUGAGGAUAUUUAACUAUCUUUUCAUUGUAAUAGGAGUGUUUUAACUGAAGAACCUCCAACCUACAUGGUAUCUAUCUUUUUUUAGAGAGACUUUUGUAUGAUAUAGACAGAGUAUAACUGCCUCAGCUGUUUUCCAGAAACUAUUUAUUUCAAUAAAAACCCUGGAAAAACGUGUGGAAAA
Molecule: long non-coding RNA, 1668 nt
Organism: Pseudophryne corroboree (corroboree frog)
Lineage: Eukaryota; Metazoa; Chordata; Amphibia; Anura; Myobatrachidae
Exons: 5
Source: RefSeq, a predicted model, not a curated record